This 254-nucleotide ribosomal RNA is filed under the name uncultured bacterium. RNAcentral's name for it is "partial 16S ribosomal RNA". It matches the Rfam family "Bacterial small subunit ribosomal RNA", at positions 524 to 776 of the family's 1533-position model. The record is from RNAcentral.
UACGUAGGGCGCAAGCGUUGUCCGGAAUUAUUGGGCGUAAAGAGCUCGUAGGCGGCUUGUCACGUCGGGUGUGAAAGCCCCGGGGCUUAACCCCGGGUCUGCAUUCGAUACGGGCUGGCUAGAGUGUGGUAGGGGAGAUCGGAAUUCCUGGUGUAGCGGUGAAAUGCGCAGAUAUCAGGAGGAACACCGGUGGCGAAGGCGGAUCUCUGGGCCAUUACUGACGCUGAGGAGCGAAAGCGUGGGGAGCGAACAGG